Molecule: ribosomal RNA, 657 nt
Filed under: Leuconostoc mesenteroides
Lineage: Bacteria; Bacillati; Bacillota; Bacilli; Lactobacillales; Lactobacillaceae
Description: bacterial SSU rRNA
Rfam family: Bacterial small subunit ribosomal RNA
Source: RNAcentral
UGCUUGCACCUUUCAAGUGAGUGGCGAACGGGUGAGUAACACGUGGACAACCUGCCUCAAGGCUGGGGAUAACAUUUGGAAACAGAUGCUAAUACCGAAUAAAACUUAGUGUCGCAUGACAAAAAGUUAAAAGGCGCUUCGGCGUCACCUAGAGAUGGAUCCGCGGUGCAUUAGUUAGUUGGUGGGGUAAAGGCCUACCAAGACAAUGAUGCAUAGCCGAGUUGAGAGACUGAUCGGCCACAUUGGGACUGAGACACGGCCCAAACUCCUACGGGAGGCUGCAGUAGGGAAUCUUCCACAAUGGGCGAAAGCCUGAUGGAGCAACGCCGCGUGUGUGAUGAAGGCUUUCGGGUCGUAAAGCACUGUUGUAUGGGAAGAACAGCUAGAAUAGGAAAUGAUUUUAGUUUGACGGUACCAUACCAGAAAGGGACGGCUAAAUACGUGCCAGCAGCCGCGGUAAUACGUAUGUCCCGAGCGUUAUCCGGAUUUAUUGGGCGUAAAGCGAGCGCAGACGGUUUAUUAAGUCUGAUGUGAAAGCCCGGAGCUCAACUCCGGAAUGGCAUUGGAAACUGGUUAACUUGAGUGCAGUAGAGGUAAGUGGAACUCCAUGUGUAGCGGUGGAAUGCGUAGAUAUAUGGAAGAACACCAGUGGCGAAG